GAACGUGGAGAUAGCUGGUUCUCCCCGAAAUAGCUUUAGGGCUAGCCUCAGGGAAUGUAUGCAGACGGUAGAGCACUGAUCGGGCAAGGGAGCGUAAAGCUUACCGACCCCAGUCAAACUGCGAAUGGCUGUAUAAGAGGCCUUGGGAGUCAGCGUGCGAGUGAUAAGACCCGUACGCAAGAGGGAAACAGCCCAGACCGCCGGCUAAGGUCCCAAAUACUGUGCUAAGUGGAAAAGGAUGUAGGACUUCGAAAACAACCAGGAUGUUGGCUCAGAAGCAGCCACCAUUAAAAGAGUGCGUAAUAGCUCACUGGUCGAGAGGACCUGCGCCGAAGAUAUCCGGGGCUCAAGCACAGAACCGAAGCCGCGGCAUUACGAAAGUAAUGGGUAGGGGAGCGUACCAUAGGCGACGAAGGCUGACUGGAAAGACAACUGGAGCGUAUGGUAGUGAGAAUGCCGGUAUGAGUAGCGAAAAGGACGGUGAGAAUCCGUCCCACCGAAAGCCUAAGGUUUCCUGAGCAACGAUCGUCGGCUCAGGGUAAGUCGGGACCUAAGCCGAGGCAAAGAGCGUAGGCGAAGGACAACUGGCGAAAAAUCCAGUACCACUCUAAGUUGCUUGAGGAUGGAGUGACACAGGAGGGAACUUGAGCGCGCGAAUGGAAGAGCGCGUCGAACGCGGUAGGCUGGCAAAGAGGCAAAUCCCUUUGCUAAGGCCGAGAGCGGAUAGGGAAGUAAGCGAAAGCGAACGGAACUCAAGGGAACCACACUGUCGAGAAAAGCUUCUAACGAGACGAAGAGUGCCCGUACCGCAAACCGACACAGGUAGGCGGGGAGAGAAUCCUAAGGUGCGCGGGAAAACCCUCGUUAAGGAACUCGGCAAAAUGUAUCCGUAACUUCGGGAAAAGGAUAGCCGGAGCUAGUGAACUCUCAAGCAGAGGGAGCGAGAGCCGGUGGCACAAGAGAGGCCCAGGCGACUGUUUAGCACAAACACAGGUACUUGCGAAAGAGAAAUCUGAAGUAUAAGCGCUGACGCCUGCCCGGUGCUGGAAGGUUAAGGAAAGAGGUCAAGAGCAAUCUGAAGCUUCGAACUGAAGCCCCAGUGAACGGCGGCCGUAACUAUAACGGUCCUAAGGUAGCGAAAUUCCUUGUCGGGUAAGUUCCGACCCGCAUGAAAGGCGUAACGACCUGGGCACUGUCUCAACGAGGGACCCGGUGAAAUUGAAAUACCUGUGAAGAUGCAGGUUACCCGCGACUGGACAGAAAGACCCCAUGGAGCUUUACUGCAGCCUGGCAUUGAUUUUUGGGAAAGGAUGUACAGGAUAGGUGGGAGACUGGGAAAGUGAGACGCAAGUCACACUGGAGUCAAUGUUGGGAUACCACCCUUCCUUUUCUAAGGACCUAACCGAAGGAAUAACGAACCUCGAGACAGUGCCAGGGGGACAGUUUGACUGGGGCGGUCGCCUCCGAAAGAGCAACGGAGGCGUCCCAAGGUUCCCUCAGCGCGGCCGGAAAUCGCGCGAAGAGUAUAAAGGCAGAAGGGAGCUUGACUGCGAGACGGACAGGUCGAGCAGGUGCGAAAGCAGGGCUUAGUGAUCCGGUGGAAAGAAAGUGGAAUUGCCAUCGCUCAACGGAUAAAAGCUACCCUGGGGAUAACAGGCUAAUCUCUCCCAAGAGUCCAUAUCGACGGGGAGGUUUGGCACCUCGAUGUCGGCUCAUCACAUCCUGGGGCUGAAGCAGGUCCCAAGGGUUGGGCUGUUCGCCCAUUAAAGUGGUACGUGAGCUGGGUUCAGAACGUCGUGAGACAGUUCGGUCCAUAUCCAUCGCGGGCGCAAGAAACAUGAAGGGAUCUGCUCUUAGUACGAGAGGACCGGAGUGGACGGACCGACGGUGUACCGGUUAUGGCGCCAGCCGUAGAGCCGGGUAGCUGCGUCCGGAAGGGAUAAACGCUGAAAGCAUCUAAGCGUGAAACCCACCCUGAGAUGAAGUUUCUCAUGUGAAAGCAGUAAGGCCCCUCGAAGACGACGAGGUAGAUAGGCUGGGAGUGGAAGCCCUGCAAGGGGUGGAGCGGACCAGUACUAAUUGGCCGAGGGCUUGACUUA
RNAcentral lists this ribosomal RNA (2099 nucleotides) under human oral metagenome. RNAcentral describes it as "bacterial LSU rRNA". It matches the Rfam family "Bacterial large subunit ribosomal RNA", at positions 835 to 2925 of the family's 2925-position model. The record is from RNAcentral.